This 1828-nucleotide long non-coding RNA is filed under the name Marmota monax (woodchuck). The record is from RNAcentral. Lineage: Eukaryota; Metazoa; Chordata; Mammalia; Rodentia; Sciuridae.
GUCGGAGCUCUGUCGGGCCGAGCCAGAGGGGCGAGGCUGAGGUGGUCGCGGGGCCGAGUCCAGGGGCUGACUCUGAGGGACACCCUUCUGCCCGCCCCCGCGCUGCCCGUCGCGCCCCUCGAACUCCCGCAGCGCAGCCCAGUCCGGGGCGUCGGUCCCGUCGCGGUGGACGCCCACCGCUUGUUGAGAACUGGCUGCGGGACAUGAGUUGGGACCUCCGUUGGAGGUGGAGUUUGUGGGGUCUGGUCUCUUGGGGAGACGCCGAGGGCUCUGCUGAUGAGUUGCCGCUCUGGCCCUGGGGUAGUGACGGUCGUCGUGGAACUUCCAAUCGGCUGAGCGCUUCCCGGGGGCGGCGGUUUGAAACCUCGCCCGGGAGUCCGUCGGGCGGACGAGCGCUGGGGUCCUAGUGGGCCCUCGGGUCUGACUCCUGGGCACCACCAGCCCCGGCCCCUGAGCACAGUUUCUCCGGUUCCUGUCGUAUACCUGGCUACUUCUCGAGCCCUCUUCUGCCCCCAAUUUCGCAGUCUGACGUUUAGAAUUCUGCAUCUUCCUCCGCAAGGUGGGACCUCCUUUUUUUUUUUUUUUUUUUUGCCAGCGUUAACUUUAGAGUUCUCUUAGGCUUUGAUGCCUUCCUCCUCCUUUCCCCCUUGGGUGUCUUAGGUAUUUUGAGGUCCUACACUCCUCUACCAAUGAUUGCGUGCUAAGGUUUAUCGAGGACCUUGAUUAUCAACGGAAUACGAGUGACAGAGCUGGGCCUGAACCUUUGUUUUCCUGGGAGUUGAGGGAGAACUGUAGGAAACCCCUUGGGAAGCUUCUUCUGAUCGUUGUCUUAGAAGCUAAAACAAGCUAGAUAAUAAUAUUCGUCCUGGAGGGCGAAUGCUCUCCUACAGCCGGACAGGUGGAACCAGCUCCCUGCUUGGGAAGUCUAGGUUUAAACCAACUGUCACCUCUGUCCCAUUCUGGCAGGAAUUCUCCUCCCCCAGGGUUGGGAAGCUCUGGAAAAUCUGCUAGUCUCUCUUAGACUCUUAAGACUGUCCGAUUUGUAGGGAAGAGAGAGUUUUUAGAAUUGUAACAGAACGUUUUUGAAUAAACGAAUUUUUAGCCACAAUGACAUCAGUAAGAUCUGGAGUGCUACUUAUCUUUCUGCAUGCACUAUUGUAAUUCGAUAUGGUUGCUUUGAAAACUCUGGGAUCAAAGUAUAUAGGUGGUGUGUGAACUAAUUUCAUAAAAGGAACAACAAAAUACAACCUUAUAGGUGUACUAUAAAGUACCAUGGAAAUUACAAAGUAUUAUUUGAACUUAAAGGAUUAUUAUUCUUGCAUAUAAUUUUUUUUUCUCUUGUAUUAACUACACAGGCCAGUACCACUCAGUUGUUUUUCAUAAGUCAUUUAAUUACCAGGUGUUCCAGAAUGCACAUCACCUAAUGUAAGAUACUAUAAUUGACUUGUACUUUGUUUUUGGAAUAUCCACUCUACUUGUUAUACUGGUGUUUCUGUGGGAAUCUUAUUAGAUAUUUGGGGAAAGUGCAUCCAUUUUUACUGUUUGGACAUUGUCCUAAUAAUGUAAUUCAGAGGUGUUUUUUUUUUCCCCCUCAUAUUCCUUAGGUUAACUUUGUAAUGUGCUUUAUAUUGAAUUUUUUAAAUGUAUUUUUUGUUAAAGUAGCUCUCUUUCAGCCGGCAACUUUUGAGAAAAAUUUAAAAAAUUCUGCUUCUGAUUUGCAUUUGAAUAGUAUGGGCUUACAACAAAACCCAAUGUAAUUCCUGCUUCUGUUUGUUAUUUUUGAAUAUUUCUCCCUCUAAUAAAAUUCUUGAUUCGAAUACACCUCCUU